This 2096-nucleotide ribosomal RNA is filed under the name Campylobacter coli. Its description in RNAcentral is "partial 23S ribosomal RNA". It matches the Rfam family "Bacterial large subunit ribosomal RNA", at positions 1 to 2101 of the family's 2925-position model. Lineage: Bacteria; Pseudomonadati; Campylobacterota; Epsilonproteobacteria; Campylobacterales; Campylobacteraceae. The record is from RNAcentral.
AGGUAAGCUACUAAGAGCGAAUGGUGGAUGCCUUGACUGGUAAAGGCGAUGAAGGACGUACUAGACUGCGAUAAGCUACGGGGAGCUGUCAAGAAGCUUUGAUCCGUAGAUUUCCGAAUGGGGCAACCCAAUGUAUAGAGAUAUACAUUACCUAUAUAGGAGCGAACGAGGGGAAUUGAAACAUCUUAGUACCCUCAGGAAAAGAAAUCAAUAGAGAUUGCGUCAGUAGCGGCGAGCGAAAGCGCAAGAGGGCAAACCCAGUGCUUGCACUGGGGGUUGUAGGACUGCAAUGUGCAAGAGGUAAGUUUAGCAGAACAUUCUGGAAAGUAUAACCAUAGAGGGUGAUAGUCCCGUAUGCGAAAAACAAACCUUAGCUAGCAGUAUCCUGAGUAGGGCGGGACACGAGGAAUCCUGUCUGAAUCUGGGUCGACCACGAUCCAACCCUAAAUACUAAUACCAGAUCGAUAGUGCACAAGUACCGUGAGGGAAAGGUGAAAAGAACUGAGGUGAUCAGAGUGAAAUAGAACCUGAAACCAUUUGCUUACAAUCAUUCAGAGCCCUAUGUAGCAAUACAGGGUGAUGGACUGCCUUUUGCAUAAUGAGCCUGCGAGUUGUGGUGUCUGGCAAGGUUAAGCAAACGCGAAGCCGUAGCGAAAGCGAGUCUGAAUAGGGCGCUUAGUCAGAUGCUGCAGACCCGAAACGAAGUGAUCUAUCCAUGAGCAAGUUGAAGCUAGUGUAAGAACUAGUGGAGGACUGAACCCAUAGGCGUUGAAAAGCCUCGGGAUGACUUGUGGAUAGGGGUGAAAGGCCAAUCAAACUUCGUGAUAGCUGGUUCUCUCCGAAAUAUAUUUAGGUAUAGCGUUGUGUCGUAAUAUAAGGGGGUAGAGCACUGAAUGGGCUAGGGCAUACACCAAUGUACCAAACCCUAUCAAACUCCGAAUACCUUAUAUGUAAUCACAGCAGUCAGGCGGCGAGUGAUAAAAUCCGUCGUCAAGAGGGAAACAACCCAGACUACCAGCUAAGGUCCCUAAAUCUUACUUAAGUGGAAAACGAUGUGAAGUUACUUAAACAACCAGGAGGUUGGCUUAGAAGCAGCCAUCCUUUAAAGAAAGCGUAAUAGCUCACUGGUCUAGUGAUUUUGCGCGGAAAAUAUAACGGGGCUAAAGUAAGUACCGAAGCUGUAGACUUAGUUUACUAAGUGGUAGGAGAGCGUUCUAUUUGCGUCGAAGGUAUACCGGUAAGGAGUGCUGGAGCGAAUAGAAGUGAGCAUGCAGGCAUGAGUAGCGAUAAUUAAUGUGAGAAUCAUUAACGCCGUAAACCCAAGGUUUCCUACGCGAUGCUCGUCAUCGUAGGGUUAGUCGGGUCCUAAGUCGAGUCCGAAAGGGGUAGACGAUGGCAAAUUGGUUAAUAUUCCAAUACCAACAUUAGUGUGCGAUGGAAGGACGCUUAGGGCUAAGGGGGCUAGCGGAUGGAAGUGCUAGUCUAAGGUCGUAGGAGGUUAUACAGGCAAAUCCGUAUAACAAUACUCCGAGAACUGAAAGGCUUUUUGAAGUCUUCGGAUGGAUAGAAGAACCCCUGAUGCCGUCGAGCCAAGAAAAGUUUCUAAGUUUAGCUAAUGUUGCCCGUACCGUAAACCGACACAGGUGGGUGGGAUGAGUAUUCUAAGGCGCGUGGAAGAACUCUCUUUAAGGAACUCUGCAAAAUAGCACCGUAUCUUCGGUAUAAGGUGUGGUUCGCUUCGUAUUAGGAUUUACUCCGAAAGCGAAGAAACUUACAACAAAGAGUCCCUCCCGACUGUUUACCAAAAACACAGCACUCUGCUAACUCGUAAGAGGAUGUAUAGGGUGUGACGCCUGCCCGGUGCUCGAAGGUUAAUUGAUGGGGUUAGCAUUAGCGAAGCUCUUGAUCGAAGCCCGAGUAAACGGCGGCCGUAACUAUAACGGUCCUAAGGUAGCGAAAUUCCUUGUCGGUUAAAUACCGACCUGCAUGAAUGGCGUAACGAGAUGGGAGCUGUCUCAAAGAGGGAUCCAGUGAAAUUGUAGUGGAGGUGAAAAUUCCUCCUACCCGCGGCAAGACGGAAAGACCCCGUGGACCUU